This 305-nucleotide ribosomal RNA is filed under the name uncultured bacterium. RNAcentral describes it as "bacterial SSU rRNA". It matches the Rfam family "Bacterial small subunit ribosomal RNA", at positions 335 to 638 of the family's 1533-position model. The record is from RNAcentral.
GCACCUACGGGGGGCAGCAGUGAGGAAUAUUGGUCAAUGGGCGAGAGCCUGAACCAGCCAAGUCGCGUGAGGGAGUACUGCCCUAUGGGUUGUAAACCUCUUUUGUCGGGGAGCAAAAGCCGGACGUGUCCGGCUGUGAGAGUACCCGAAGAAAAAGCAUCGGCUAACUCCGUGCCAGCAGCCGCGGUAAUACGUAGGGGGCAAGCGUUAUCCGGAUUUACUGGGUGUAAAGGGGGCGCAGACGGCGAUGCAAGCCAGGAGUGAAAGCCCGGGGCCCAACCCCGGGACUGCUCUUGGAACUGCGG